GCCCCGAUAGCCCAGUUGACAGAGCAUCAGACUUUUAAUCUGAGGGUCAAGGGUUCGAGCUCCUUUUCGGGCG
This 73-nucleotide transfer RNA is filed under the name Schistocephalus solidus. It matches the Rfam family "tRNA". Rfam says of the family: Transfer RNA (tRNA) molecules are approximately 80 nucleotides in length. Their secondary structure includes four short double-helical elements and three loops (D, anti-codon, and T loops). Further hydrogen bonds mediate the characteristic L-shaped molecular structure. tRNAs have two regions of fundamental functional importance: the anti-codon, which is responsible for specific mRNA codon recognition, and the 3' end, to which the tRNAs corresponding amino acid is attached (by aminoacyl-tRNA synthetases). tRNAs cope with the degeneracy of the genetic code in two manners: having more than one tRNA (with a specific anti-codon) for a particular amino acid; and 'wobble' base-pairing, i.e. permitting non-standard base-pairing at the 3rd anti-codon position. The record is from Rfam by way of RNAcentral. Lineage: Eukaryota; Metazoa; Platyhelminthes; Cestoda; Diphyllobothriidea; Diphyllobothriidae.